Molecule: long non-coding RNA, 941 nt
Organism: Nothobranchius furzeri (turquoise killifish)
Lineage: Eukaryota; Metazoa; Chordata; Actinopteri; Cyprinodontiformes; Nothobranchiidae
Source: RefSeq, a predicted model, not a curated record
CUAUUGGAAAAAUGCAGAAUGUCUGGUUAUUUUAGCCACACACAGCUCAAAACUGUUCCUCGUUUUAAGGAAGGGUGGUGUGGCAGUAUUUAAACCCAGGAGCUGAUGACACUACUGCUAAAAAAACACAGAAGAAAAAGUAGUGUGUUUGCGUUUGUUUGUGUGUGUGUGUGUGUGUGUGUGUGUGUGUGUGUGUGUGUGUGUGUGUGUGUGUGUGUGUGUGCGUGCGUGCGCGCGUGGUUCGUUCGUUCUGUCUCCAGGCUAGUGGCUAAGUACUGAGGGCUUCAUCUAUCUAAAAGGAGUUAUUUCCAUCUGAAUUUGGCAGCACCGGGACACAGCAGCAGAGCGAGUCCACAUCCAGAAGACUGGAGCCGUGUUUCACUGACAGGCUGUCAGACUAAAGCCCUGAUGAGCUCAGCUGGGACAAACUGGUCUGAUGUUUAGGAACACAGAACGUUCAGAUGUUGGCGUUUCACGUCACCUACUGAGGAAGGAGACCCACCAGUAAAGAGAUGGUAGCUGGACCAGACCAAAAAUAUGACGAUGACAUCAUGGAACUGGUCUUUGGAAAAGUUUUCCCUGAACCAACUCCGUUUCUAGAUGAGGUAGAGAAGAUCUGCAUCUCACCAACCCUCUGGUCUCAGUAUUCAGACAACGGAGGUCUCCCACUGUUAUCCAGGACCAGUUUGAAGCCCACAUACUUCCCCUCCCUCAUCAUCAGGAAACAUCAAUCCGUUUCCUGAGGACAACAGAAGACGGCAGGAGGACAGGAACUCUGAGACCUAGACACCACCAGCACCGAGACACAAAGCACCUGUGUGCACAACGCCUGUUUUAACUACUAAAGCCUGUUUAUUAUAUUGUUCUACUUAUUUGCUGUUAGGUUAAUACUUAGAAAAUUUGUAUAUUAAUGUAAACAAUAAAAAAAAUCACUGAUUGUA